GAAUGCGUCUGUGUGUGUCUGUAUGUGUGCCUGCGUGUAUGUGUGUGUCAGACAUACCGACACACAUAUAAAUACAUACAUUGACAGACACACACACGCAGGCACAUAUACUGACAGACAUACU
Non-coding RNA from Pelobates cultripes (western spadefoot toad), 124 nucleotides. The record is from the annotation of a GenBank genome assembly. Lineage: Eukaryota; Metazoa; Chordata; Amphibia; Anura; Pelobatidae.